RNAcentral lists this long non-coding RNA (422 nucleotides) under Equus caballus (horse). RNAcentral describes it as "lncRNA (ENSECAG00000042156.2)". The record is from RNAcentral. Lineage: Eukaryota; Metazoa; Chordata; Mammalia; Perissodactyla; Equidae.
AUCCAAACCGCUGAAGCCCAGGCGGCCAAAGCAGAGUGUGUGAACAUAACCUCCACACCACCCGGCCAGCCCCAAGCUGACUUUUUACAGAACAUAAACUCCACAAGGGCAGAGGUUUCCGUCUGCUUCUUUUGACUGAUGUACCCCAGCACCUAGAACACUGCCGGGCACAUAUCAAGUCCUCAGUAAAUGUAGGAAAACGAGCAAUCCUGUGGGAAGUCAGGGAGGAGGCUGUCUCAAGAAAGAGAAAGAAUUUAACAAUGCCAACACUUCCAAAUGCUGCCGAGAGGUCCAGGUGAGAGCAGAGAUUAGAUGGCAGAGCACGGCUUGAAGAGAGAAGCAUCAGUAGUCUGUCUGACUGAAAACAGAUUAUGAAGGUUUACCAGAUGAAUAAAUGGUACUUAGUGUAGGGAAAAAAAGCG